This 253-nucleotide ribosomal RNA is filed under the name uncultured bacterium. RNAcentral's name for it is "partial 16S ribosomal RNA". It matches the Rfam family "Bacterial small subunit ribosomal RNA", at positions 524 to 776 of the family's 1533-position model. The record is from RNAcentral.
UACGAGGGGGGCAAAUGUUGUUCGGAAUUACUGGGCGUAAAGGGAGCGUAGGCGGGUUUCUAAGUCAGGUGUUUAAUCCCGGGGCCCAACCCCGGACAGGCACUUGAAACUGGAAAUCUUGAAUAGUGGAGAGGUCAGUGGAAUUGGGGGUGUAGCGGUGGAAUGCGUAGAGAUCCCCAAGAACACCAGUUGCGAAGGCGGCUGACUGGACACAUAUUGACGCUGAGGCUCGAAAGCAUGGGGAGCAAACAGG